RNAcentral lists this ribosomal RNA (497 nucleotides) under uncultured bacterium. RNAcentral describes it as "partial 16S ribosomal RNA". It matches the Rfam family "Bacterial small subunit ribosomal RNA", at positions 28 to 507 of the family's 1533-position model. The record is from RNAcentral.
GAUGAACGCUGGCGGCGUGCCUAAUACAUGCAAGUCGAGCGAACAGAUGAGGAGCUUGCUCCUCUGACGUUAGCGGCGGACGGGUGAGUAACACGUGGAUAACCUACCUAUAAGACUGGGAUAACUUCGGGAAACCGGAGCUCAUACCGGAUAAUAUAUUGAACGGCAUGGUUCAUUAGUGAAAGACGGUUUUGCUGUCACUUAUAGAUGGAUCCGCGCCGCAUUAGCUAGUUGGUAAGGUAACGGCUUACCAAGGCAACGAUGCGUAGCCGACCUGAGAGGGUGAUCGGCCACACUGGAACUGAGACACGGUCCAGACUCCUACGGGAGGCAGCAGUAGGGAAUCUUCCGCAAAGGGCGAAAGCCUGACGGAGCAACGCCGCGUGAGUGAUGAAGGUCUUCGGAUCGUAAAACUCUGUUAGUAGGGAAGAACAAAUGUGUAAGUAACUAUGCACGUCUUGACGGUACCUAAUCAGAAAGCCACGGCUAACUACGUG